RNAcentral lists this ribosomal RNA (253 nucleotides) under uncultured bacterium. RNAcentral's name for it is "partial 16S ribosomal RNA". It matches the Rfam family "Bacterial small subunit ribosomal RNA", at positions 524 to 776 of the family's 1533-position model. The record is from RNAcentral.
UACGAAGGGGGCAAGCGUUACUCGGAAUUACUGGGCGUAAAGCGUACGCAGGCGGCUUUGCAAGACAGAUGUGAAAUCCCCGGGCUUAACCUGGGAACUGCAUUUGUGACUGCAUGGCUGGAGUGCGGAAGAGGGGGAUGGAAUUCCGCGUGUAGCAGUGAAAUGCGUAGAUAUGCGGAGGAACACCGAUGGCGAAGGCAAUCCCCUGGGCCUGCACUGACGCUCAUGCACGAAAGCGUGGGGAGCAAACAGG